AUGAUAAACAGAUUGAAAAUCCGAGAUGUAUUAGAGAAUCAGGGCGUAAUAGUGCGUAUACUAAUCGUAAUUGUUAACACUCUGUUAAUAUUUUGUUUGUUAUUAGACAUAACAAAAAGCUGCGAAAGACACUUACGUACUUGGAUUUUAGGAUCAUUAAUAUUGAGUAUUUUUUUAUUUGGUUCUGUUGAAAGGAUUCAAAAAAUGAUAAAAGAAGACAAAGGAUUCUUUUAUGAAGUCGUAUUGAUGCUUUUGAGUUUUUUAUGGACGUAUUUUGGUACCAUCCAGAUUAACAAGUCGGAUACGUGUCAAAAAACAGCACCUCACUUAUUUUGGGCAGUAUUCACUUUAGUGACUACAAUUUGGUGUUCCAUAAUUGGAUUGAUUUUAAGUUUGAUUAUUAUAUCAAUUGGAUCACUUUUUGUUGUUUUGUCGAAUAUAAAUUAAACAUAAAAAUUAAGUUUACAUUUAUGCAUGCAGUAUGAAUUACAUAAUUAGGCAAAACUU
Molecule: long non-coding RNA, 507 nt
Filed under: Piliocolobus tephrosceles (Ugandan red Colobus)
Lineage: Eukaryota; Metazoa; Chordata; Mammalia; Primates; Cercopithecidae
Description: lncRNA (ENSPTEG00000012227.1)
Source: RNAcentral